This 70-nucleotide transfer RNA is filed under the name Oryzaephilus surinamensis (saw-toothed grain beetle). RNAcentral describes it as "tRNA-Arg". The record is from RNAcentral. Lineage: Eukaryota; Metazoa; Arthropoda; Insecta; Coleoptera; Silvanidae.
AAAUAAGAAGUAAAAAAAGAUUACAUUUAGUUUCGACCUAAACUUUUGGCAAAGGCCCUGCCCUUAUUUU